Long non-coding RNA from Homo sapiens (human), 592 nucleotides. RefSeq lists it as uncharacterized. The record is from RefSeq and is a predicted model, not a curated record. The transcript has 4 exons. NCBI's taxonomy places the organism in Eukaryota, Metazoa, Chordata, Mammalia, Primates, Hominidae.
AACAGGAGGCUGACCGGAUUUGGUCCAUCAGCCAUGUUUGCUGACUUUUCCAUAGCCCACCUGAUGGUAGAACAACCUGCUCCUCACGGCAUCUACUCUCUUGUGACUAAUUUGAUAAUUUGGGUCUUUGAUGCAGCCUCAAAGGUCAUAGCUCCUAGAGAUAAGCCUUCAAGUCACCACAAGCUACCUUCAUAGCUGUUCAACCUUCCCUCACUCUCCACACUAUUGAAGGGUCCUCGCCUGCUGAUGUGUCAGCUUCCCUGUUCCUAGCAAAAGCUUUGGAAUGAAAAGAAGCAAACAAAGAUGCCUGAAAAGCCCAGAACCACAACUUCUGAGUUCGUCUUCUGAUGCAGGAAUAUUACAAUUGAGAGGAAAACAGAGAUAUAGAAAUUACCAAGAAAAAUCCAGAGCUAGCCAUUAUAUCAGGAACGAAGAAGCCAGUCACUGUGCUCUGGAGAGACAAAUUGCACAUUUGACAUGCAGUCACUUUGUGUAGGAAACAUUACUUCUGAAGAGAAUGAUACCUGGUGUUCUUUAAAGUACAACAUUGGACAAACAAAAGAAAAUGGAGCUAAAUUAUUAUUGAUCACCC